Molecule: ribosomal RNA, 253 nt
Filed under: uncultured bacterium
Lineage: Bacteria
Description: partial 16S ribosomal RNA
Rfam family: Bacterial small subunit ribosomal RNA
Source: RNAcentral
GACGAACCGUGCGAACGUUGUUCGGAAUCACUGGGCUUAAAGGGCGCGUAGGCGGGUCCGCAAGUCUGGGGUGAAAGCCCCCGGCUCAACCGGGGAAGUGCCGCGGAUACUGCGGACCUCGAGGGGGGUAGGGGCGCGUGGAACUUCCGGUGGAGCGGUGAAAUGCGUAGAUAUCGGAAGGAACGCCGGUGGCGAAAGCGACGCGCUGGGCCCCUUCUGACGCUGAGGCGCGAAAGCCAGGGGAGCAAACGGG